GAAGUAAAAGUCGUAACAAGGUUUCCGUAGGUGAACCUGCGGAAGGAUCAUUACUGAGCAACGGGCCCUUUCUCUGUUGGGGCCUGAUCUCUUCACCGUGUCGAAUCGCACCCUGUUGCUUCAGCGGGUUGGAGAGUUGGCGCCGGCCCCGGCUGCUCUCUCCACAGCCAAUGCCCGCUGGAGACUCUUUCUGCAACGCUGGAGUGUGUUUUUCUCACGUAACGAUAACUGUCUGAGUGGAGAUACAAAUCAGUUUAUAUAAAACUUUCAACAAUGGAUCUCUUGGUUCCGGCAUCGAUGAAGAACGCAGCAAAAUGCGAUAAGUAAUGUGAAUUGCAGAAUUCCGUGAAUCAUCGAAUCUUUGAACGCAUAUUGCGCCCUCCGGUAUUCCAGAGGGCAUGCCUGUCCGAGCGUCAUUGCCUUCCCCUCCAAGCUCGGCUUGGGUGUUGGGCUCGUUUGUCCCCUGUUCGUCCCACCGUCCCCCCGACGGUGGGGGGGUUGGGGACAGGCCCGAAAGAUAGUGGCGAUACCGUGGUCAACCCCCGAGCGUAUGGGCUUCUCCCGCUCUAGGGGCUUUGAUCGGCAUCGGCCGUUCCCUGCAGUGCUCACACCAGUGGACCUCGGAUCAGGUAAGGAUACCCGCUGAACUUAAGCAUAUCAAUAA
This 664-nucleotide ribosomal RNA is filed under the name Elaphomyces virgatosporus. RNAcentral's name for it is "eukaryotic LSU rRNA". The stretch from base 263 to 416 matches the Rfam family "5.8S ribosomal RNA". Lineage: Eukaryota; Fungi; Ascomycota; Eurotiomycetes; Eurotiales; Elaphomycetaceae. The record is from RNAcentral.